GAUGAACGCUCGCGGGAGGCCUAACACAUGCAAGCCGAGCGGUAUUUGCUCUUCGGAACAGAGAGAGCGGCGCACGGGUGCGGAACACGUGUGCAACCUGCCUUUAUCUGGGGGAUAGCCUUUCGAAAGGAAGAUUAAUACCCCAUAAUAUAUUGAGUGGCAUCAUUUGAUAUUGAAAACUCCGGUGGAUAGAGAUGGGCACGCGCAAGAUUAGAUAGUUGGUGAGGUAACGGCUCACCAAGUCAAUGAUCUUUAGGGGGCCUGAGAGGGUGAUCCCCCACACUGGUACUGAGACACGGACCAGACUCCUACGGGAGGCAGCAGUGAGGAAUAUUGGACAAUGGGUUAGCGCCUGAUCCAGCCAUCCCGCGUGAAGGACGACGGCCCUAUGGGUUGUAAACUUCUUUUGUAUAGGGAUAAACCUACUCUCGUGAGAGUAGCUGAAGGUACUAUACGAAUAAGCACCGGCUAACUCCGUG
RNAcentral lists this ribosomal RNA (479 nucleotides) under uncultured bacterium. RNAcentral describes it as "partial 16S ribosomal RNA". It matches the Rfam family "Bacterial small subunit ribosomal RNA", at positions 28 to 507 of the family's 1533-position model. The record is from RNAcentral.